GACGAACGCUGGCGGCAUGCCUUACACAUGCAAGUCGAACGGCAGCACGGACUUCGGUCUGGUGGCGAGUGGCGAACGGGUGAGUAAUACAUCGGAACGUGCCUAGUAGUGGGGGAUAACUACUCGAAAGAGUGGCUAAUACCGCAUGAGAUCUACGGAUGAAAGCAGGGGAUCGCAAGACCUUGUGCUACUAGAGCGGCCGAUGGCAGAUUAGGUGGUUGGUGAGGUAACGGCCCACCAAGGCGACGAUCGGUAGCCGGACUGAGAGGUUGAACGGCCACAUUGGGACUGAGACACGGCCCAG
RNAcentral lists this ribosomal RNA (304 nucleotides) under uncultured bacterium. RNAcentral's name for it is "bacterial SSU rRNA". It matches the Rfam family "Bacterial small subunit ribosomal RNA", at positions 28 to 334 of the family's 1533-position model. The record is from RNAcentral.